AUCUAGCAGACGAGUUCAAAACAGGACGAAAAGUGCGUCCUGCAU
This 45-nucleotide non-coding RNA is filed under the name Schistosoma mattheei. The record is from RNAcentral. Lineage: Eukaryota; Metazoa; Platyhelminthes; Trematoda; Strigeidida; Schistosomatidae.